This 429-nucleotide ribosomal RNA is filed under the name Bacteroidota bacterium. Its description in RNAcentral is "Bacteroidetes bacterium partial 16S ribosomal RNA". It matches the Rfam family "Bacterial small subunit ribosomal RNA", at positions 355 to 776 of the family's 1533-position model. The record is from RNAcentral. Lineage: Bacteria; Pseudomonadati; Bacteroidota.
UAGGGAAUCUUCCGCAAUGGACGCAAGUCUGACGGAGCAACGCCGCGUGAGUGAAGAAGGAUUUCGGUUCGUAAAACUCUGUUGUUAGAGAAGAACAGCGCAUAGAGUAACUGUUAUGCGUGUGACGGUAUCUAACCAGAAAGCCACGGCUAACUACGUGCCAGCAGCCGCGGUAAUACGUAGGUGGCAAGCGUUGUCCGGAUUUAUUGGGCGUAAAGCGAGCGCAGGCGGUCAAUUAAGUCUGAUGUGAAAGCCCCCGGCUCAACCGGGGAGGGUCAGUGGAAACUGGUUGACUUGAGGGCAGAAGAGGAGAGUGGAAUUCCAUGUGUAGCGGUGAAAUGCGUAGAUAUAUGGAGGAACACCAGGGGCGAAGGCGACUCUCUGGUCUGUAACUGACGCUGAGGCUCGAAAGCGUGGGUAGCAAACAGG